Molecule: ribosomal RNA, 407 nt
Filed under: uncultured bacterium
Lineage: Bacteria
Description: partial 16S ribosomal RNA
Rfam family: Bacterial small subunit ribosomal RNA
Source: RNAcentral
UGGGGAAUAUUGCACAAUGGGCGCAAGCCUGAUGCAGCAACGCCGCGUGAGGGACGACGGCCUUCGGGUUGUAAACCUCUUUUAGCAGGGAAGAAGCGAAAGUGACGGUACCUGCAGAAAAAGCGCCGGCUAACUACGUGCCAGCAGCCGCGGUAAUACGUAGGGCGCAAGCGUUAUCCGGAAUUAUUGGGCGUAAAGAGCUCGUAGGCGGUUUGUCGCGUCUGCUGUGAAAUCCGGGGGCUCAACCUCCGGCCUGCAGUGGGUACGGGCAGACUAGAGUGCGGUAGGGGAGAUUGGAAUUCCUGGUGUAGCGGUGGAAUGCGCAGAUAUCAGGAGGAACACCGAUGGCGAAGGCAGAUCUCUGGGCCGUAACUGACGCUGAGGAGCGAAAGGGUGGGGAGCAAACA